AAACCAUGCUCUUCAGUAAAUUAUGACAUUAAGCUGAAUGAAAUUCAGAUUACUAAGUAGAGCUGUAAUGUUAGCUUCCAAAGCAUUAGGAGGAACAUGCUCUUUAUCUCCAUUCCAAGGCGCGAAAAUCUAGUAAUCUACCCCGAUCCCCCACCCUCUACCCUCUUCCUCUUCUACUUUCUACUCUCUAUUGAUGUGAUUUGUGUUACAGUGUUUUCAUUUGGGUUGAUGUAACUCUCACUUCUAUACUGGCAUAUUUCUGUUCAUGCUUUUGCACGCAGCCACAUAUUGGAUGUGUGUGCUCCUCAUUUUCUGUACAUUUUCUGGCUUAGUCUACUGGACUCUGACACUAUUUAUUUACCCUGGUUCUUUCAUCACUUGGAAUUACUUCUUCAAUAGUUUACUUAAUCAUAAAAUCUAAUUGUAUUGAA
This 431-nucleotide unclassified non-coding RNA is filed under the name Hevea brasiliensis (rubber tree). Lineage: Eukaryota; Viridiplantae; Streptophyta; Magnoliopsida; Malpighiales; Euphorbiaceae. The record is from RNAcentral.